GGGUUAAGUCCCGCAACGAGCGCAACCCUUAUCCUUUGUUGCCAGCGGUUCGGCCGGGAACUCAAAGGAGACUGCCAGUGAUAAACUGGAGGAAGGUGGGGAUGACGUCAAGUCAUCAUGGCCCUUACGACCAGGGCUACACACGUGCUACAAUGGCAUAUACAAAGAGAAGCGACCUCGCGAGAGCAAGCGGACCUCAUAAAGUAUGUCGUAGUCCGGAUUGGAGUCUGCAACUCGACUCCAUGAAGUCGGAAUCGCUAGUAAUCGUAGAUCAGAAUGCUACGGUGAAUACGUUCCCGGGCCUUGUACACACCGCCCGUCACACCAUGGGAGUGGGUUGCAAAAGAAGUAGGUAGCUUAACCUUCGGGAGGGCGCUUACCACUUUGUGAUUCAUGACUGGGGUGAAGUCGUAACAAGGUAACCGUAGGGGA
Molecule: ribosomal RNA, 432 nt
Filed under: Klebsiella pneumoniae
Lineage: Bacteria; Pseudomonadati; Pseudomonadota; Gammaproteobacteria; Enterobacterales; Enterobacteriaceae
Description: bacterial SSU rRNA
Rfam family: Bacterial small subunit ribosomal RNA
Source: RNAcentral